Molecule: ribosomal RNA, 2895 nt
Filed under: human gut metagenome
Description: bacterial LSU rRNA
Rfam family: Bacterial large subunit ribosomal RNA
Source: RNAcentral
UUAAGCGACUAAGCGUACACGGUGGAUGCCCUGGCAGUCAGAGGCGAUGAAGGACGUGCUAAUCUGCGAUAAGCGUCGGUAAGGUGAUAUGAACCGUUAUAACCGGCGAUUUCCGAAUGGGGAAACCCAGUGUGUUUCGACACACUAUCAUUAACUGAAUCCAUAGGUUAAUGAGGCGAACCGGGGGAACUGAAACAUCUAAGUACCCCGAGGAAAAGAAAUCAACCGAGAUUCCCCCAGUAGCGGCGAGCGAACGGGGAGCAGCCCAGAGCCUGAAUCAGUGUGUGUGUUAGUGGAAGCGUCUGGAAAGGCGCGCGAUACAGGGUGACAGCCCCGUACACAAAAAUGCACAUGCUGUGAGCUCGAUGAGUAGGGCGGGACACGUGGUAUCCUGUCUGAAUAUGGGGGGACCAUCCUCCAAGGCUAAAUACUCCUGACUGACCGAUAGUGAACCAGUACCGUGAGGGAAAGGCGAAAAGAACCCCGGCGAGGGGAGUGAAAAAGAACCUGAAACCGUGUACGUACAAGCAGUGGGAGCACGCUUAGGCGUGUGACUGCGUACCUUUUGUAUAAUGGGUCAGCGACUUAUAUUCUGUAGCAAGGUUAACCGAAUAGGGGAGCCGAAGGGAAACCGAGUCUUAACUGGGCGUUAAGUUGCAGGGUAUAGACCCGAAACCCGGUGAUCUAGCCAUGGGCAGGUUGAAGGUUGGGUAACACUAACUGGAGGACCGAACCGACUAAUGUUGAAAAAUUAGCGGAUGACUUGUGGCUGGGGGUGAAAGGCCAAUCAAACCGGGAGAUAGCUGGUUCUCCCCGAAAGCUAUUUAGGUAGCGCCUCGUGAAUUCAUCUCCGGGGGUAGAGCACUGUUUCGGCAAGGGGGUCAUCCCGACUUACCAACCCGAUGCAAACUGCGAAUACCGGAGAAUGUUAUCACGGGAGACACACGGCGGGUGCUAACGUCCGUCGUGAAGAGGGAAACAACCCAGACCGCCAGCUAAGGUCCCAAAGUCAUGGUUAAGUGGGAAACGAUGUGGGAAGGCCCAGACAGCCAGGAUGUUGGCUUAGAAGCAGCCAUCAUUUAAAGAAAGCGUAAUAGCUCACUGGUCGAGUCGGCCUGCGCGGAAGAUGUAACGGGGCUAAACCAUGCACCGAAGCUGCGGCAGCGACACUGUGUGUUGUUGGGUAGGGGAGCGUUCUGUAAGCCUGCGAAGGUGUGCUGUGAGGCAUGCUGGAGGUAUCAGAAGUGCGAAUGCUGACAUAAGUAACGAUAAAGCGGGUGAAAAGCCCGCUCGCCGGAAGACCAAGGGUUCCUGUCCAACGUUAAUCGGGGCAGGGUGAGUCGACCCCUAAGGCGAGGCCGAAAGGCGUAGUCGAUGGGAAACAGGUUAAUAUUCCUGUACUUGGUGUUACUGCGAAGGGGGGACGGAGAAGGCUAUGUUGGCCGGGCGACGGUUGUCCCGGUUUAAGCGUGUAGGCUGGUUUUCCAGGCAAAUCCGGAAAAUCAAGGCUGAGGCGUGAUGACGAGGCACUACGGUGCUGAAGCAACAAAUGCCCUGCUUCCAGGAAAAGCCUCUAAGCAUCAGGUAACAUCAAAUCGUACCCCAAACCGACACAGGUGGUCAGGUAGAGAAUACCAAGGCGCUUGAGAGAACUCGGGUGAAGGAACUAGGCAAAAUGGUGCCGUAACUUCGGGAGAAGGCACGCUGAUAUGUAGGUGAAGCGACUUGCUCGUGGAGCUGAAAUCAGUCGAAGAUACCAGCUGGCUGCAACUGUUUAUUAAAAACACAGCACUGUGCAAACACGAAAGUGGACGUAUACGGUGUGACGCCUGCCCGGUGCCGGAAGGUUAAUUGAUGGGGUUAGCGCAAGCGAAGCUCUUGAUCGAAGCCCCGGUAAACGGCGGCCGUAACUAUAACGGUCCUAAGGUAGCGAAAUUCCUUGUCGGGUAAGUUCCGACCUGCACGAAUGGCGUAACGAUCUCCACACUGUCUCGGCCAGAGACUCGGUGAAAUUGCAGUCGCGGUGAAAAUUCCGUGUACCCGCAGAAAGACGGAAAGACCCUGUGCACCUUUACUAUAGCUUGACAUUGGAUUUUGGGCCUGCAUGUGUAGGAUAGGUGGGAGGCUGUGAACCCUGUACGCCAGUAUGGGGGGAGCCAUCCUUGAAAUACCACCCUUGCAUGUUUAAGAUCCUAACUUCUUCCGGUUAUCCCGGAGAAAGACAGUGUCUGGCGGGUAGUUUGACUGGGGCGGUCGCCUCCUAAAGUGUAACGGAGGCAUGCAAAGGUUCCCUCAGCCUGAUCGGAAACCAGGCGCUGAGUGCAAACGCAUAAGGGAGCUUGACUGUAAGAGAGACAUCUCGAACAGGAACGAAAGUUGGCGUUAGUGAUCCGGUGGUCCCGUAUGGAAGGGCCAUCGCUCAUUGGAUAAAAGGUACGCCGGGGAUAACAGGCUGAUCGCAUCCAAGAGUUCACAUCGACGAUGCGGUUUGGCACCUCGAUGUCGGCUCAUCACAUCCUGGGGCUGAAGCAGGUCCCAAGGGUACGGCUGUUCGCCGUUUAAAGUGGUACGCGAGCUGGGUUUAAAACGUCGUGAGACAGUUUGGUCCCUAUCUUCUGUGGGCGAAGGAGAAUUGAGAGGGCCUGUCCCUAGUACGAGAGGACCGGGAUGGACGCACCCCUGGUGAUCCUGUUGUCGCGCCAGCGGCAUAGCAGGGUAGCUAUGUGCGGAAGGGAUAACCGCUGAAAGCAUCUAAGCGGGAAGCCUGCCUCAAGAUAAGUUCUCCCCUCGAAAGAGCUGAAGGGCCCGGGUAGACUACCCGGUCGAUAGGCUGGAGGUGUAAGCGCGGCGACGUGCUCAGCUGACCAGUACUAAUAGCCCGAGCGGCUUAUUUUU